This is a non-coding RNA of Felis catus (domestic cat), 85 nucleotides long. The record is from Rfam. NCBI's taxonomy places the organism in Eukaryota, Metazoa, Chordata, Mammalia, Carnivora, Felidae.
GCCUGGGUGGCUCAGUCGGUUGAGUGUCUGACUUCGGCUCAGGUCAUGAUCUCUUAGUCCAUGGGUUCGAGUCCCCCAUCGGGCU